RNAcentral lists this ribosomal RNA (744 nucleotides) under uncultured bacterium. RNAcentral's name for it is "bacterial SSU rRNA". It matches the Rfam family "Bacterial small subunit ribosomal RNA", at positions 8 to 796 of the family's 1533-position model. The record is from RNAcentral.
AGAGUUUGAUCAUGGCUCAGAGCGAACGCUGGCGGCAGGCUUAACACAUGCAAGUCGAGCGGGCGUAGCAAUACGUCAGCGGCAGACGGGUGAGUAACGCGUGGGAACGUACCUUUUGGUUCGGAACAACCCAGGGAAACUUGGGCUAAUACCGGAUAAGCCCUUACGGGGAAAGAUUUAUCGCCGAAAGAUCGGCCCGCGUCUGAUUAGCUAGUUGGUGAGGUAACGGCUCACCAAGGCGACGAUCAGUAGCUGAUCUGAGAGGAUGAUCAGCCACAUUGGGACUGAGACACGGCCCAAACUCCUACGGGAGGCAGCAGUGGGGAAUAUUGGACAAUGGGCGCAAGCCUGAUCCAGCCAUGCCGCGUGAGUGAUGAAGGCCCUAGGGUUGUAAAGCUCUUUUGUGCGGGAAGAUAAUGACGGUACCGCAAGAAUAAGCCCCGGCUAACUUCGUGCCAGCAGCCGCGGUAAUACGAAGGGGGCUAGCGUUGCUCGGAAUCACUGGGCGUAAAGGGUGCGUAGGCGGGUCUUUAAGUCAGGGGUGAAAUCCUGGAGCUCAACUCCAGAACUGCCUUUGAUACUGAAGAUCUUGAGUUCGGGAGAGGUGAGUGGAACUGCGAGUGUAGAGGUGAAAUUCGUAGAUAUUCGCAAGAACACCAGUGGCGAAGGCGGCUCACUGGCCCGAUACUGACGCUGAGGCACGAAAGCGUGGGGAGCAAACAGGAUUAGAUACCCUAGUAGUCC